UAAAUACAUUAGUUAGUCCUCUCAAUCGAUUCUAGACAUAAUCUAAUAUAUUUACUAAUUUACAUCACAAAGGUGUCUUCAACUAAGCCCUCUCACCAAUGGAUAAAAAUUCUUUACUCUUGAAUUCUUUAUCCUUUCUCCAGCUGAAAGGCAUUAUGAUUUUGGAUCAUAAAUCCGAUACUUCAUUUGAUUGGUGCUUGAUUUCUUACUAUGGUGAUUUCUUGUAGCGGCAUUCAUAGGUAAAGACAG
This 249-nucleotide unclassified non-coding RNA is filed under the name Hevea brasiliensis (rubber tree). The record is from RNAcentral. Lineage: Eukaryota; Viridiplantae; Streptophyta; Magnoliopsida; Malpighiales; Euphorbiaceae.